RNAcentral lists this ribosomal RNA (476 nucleotides) under uncultured bacterium. RNAcentral describes it as "bacterial SSU rRNA". It matches the Rfam family "Bacterial small subunit ribosomal RNA", at positions 30 to 507 of the family's 1533-position model. The record is from RNAcentral.
UGAACGCUAGCGGCAGGCUUAACACAUGCAAGUCGAGGGGUAUAGUUCUUCGGAGCUAGAGACCGGCGCACGGGUGCGUAACGCGUAUGCAAUCUACCUUUUACAGAGGGAUAGCCCAGAGAAAUUUGGAUUAAUACCUCAUAGUAUGUGAGAAUCGCAUGGUUUUCACAUUAAAGUUCCAACGGUAAAAGAUGAGCAUGCGUCCCAUUAGCUAGAUGGUAAGGUAACGGCUUACCAUGGCGACGAUGGGUAGGGGUCCUGAGAGGGAGAUCCCCCACACUGGUACUGAGACACGGACCAGACUCCUACGGGAGGCAGCAGUGAGGAAUAUUGGACAAUGGGCGCAAGCCUGAUCCAGCCAUGCCGCGUGCAGGAUGACGGUCCUAUGGAUUGUAAACUGCUUUUGUACAGGAAGAAACACUCCCUCGUGAGGGAGCUUGACGGUACUGUAAGAAUAAGGAUCGGCUAACUCCGUG